ACGGGAUGCAGCAGCUGAGGUUACAAGGACAUGGGUUAGCAUCUCAGAGCCACCAUUUUCGUCACAACUAUCGAGCUGCUUCUCUCAGUCUGAUGCUCCGUAAACUGUACAGGAUUUCACUCGAGGCUUCAGUGUGCGCAGGUGCUAGACACACCUUCAAAAAGAAGCAUUUAUUUCUGUGCCAAUACUAACAUGAGUUCUCUACAUAAAAAGAUUUCUAAUAAAGCCACUGUGUCUGGAGUGACUAAUUAAGGACCCAAGGAGUUUCAACCUCUGGAAGUCAUCCUGGGAGCAGCAUUCCUGACGAAGCAGUUCCGCUUUUUCUCCACAGUCAUCUCUACAGAGCUGCCAGACUAAACUUCCCA
Long non-coding RNA from Artibeus jamaicensis (Jamaican fruit-eating bat), 365 nucleotides. RefSeq lists it as uncharacterized. Lineage: Eukaryota; Metazoa; Chordata; Mammalia; Chiroptera; Phyllostomidae. The transcript is spliced from 3 exons. The record is from RefSeq and is a predicted model, not a curated record.